Molecule: ribosomal RNA, 547 nt
Filed under: Weissella cibaria
Lineage: Bacteria; Bacillati; Bacillota; Bacilli; Lactobacillales; Lactobacillaceae
Description: bacterial SSU rRNA
Rfam family: Bacterial small subunit ribosomal RNA
Source: RNAcentral
AAAGAGUGGCGAACGGGUGAGUAACACGUGGGAAACCUACCUCUUAGCAGGGGAUAACAUUUGGAAACAGAUGCUAAUACCGUAUAACAAUAGCAACCGCAUGGUUGCUACUUAAAAGAUGGUUCUGCUAUCACUAAGAGAUGGUCCCGCGGUGCAUUAGUUAGUUGGUGAGGUAAUGGCUCACCAAGACGAUGAUGCAUAGCCGAGUUGAGAGACUGAUCGGCCACAAUGGGACUGAGACACGGCCCAUACUCCUACGGGAGGCAGCAGUAGGGAAUCUUCCACAAUGGGCGAAAGCCUGAUGGAGCAACGCCGCGUGUGUGAUGAAGGGUUUCGGCUCGUAAAACACUGUUGUAAGAGAAGAAUGACAUUGAGAGUAACUGUUCAAUGUGUGACGGUAUCUUACCAGAAAGGAACGGCUAAAUACGUGCCAGCAGCCGCGGUAAUACGUAUGUUCCAAGCGUUAUCCGGAUUUAUUGGGCGUAAAGCGAGCGCAGACGGUUAUUUAAGUCUGAAGUGAAAGCCCUCAGCUCAACUGAGGAAUUGC